This 445-nucleotide ribosomal RNA is filed under the name uncultured bacterium. RNAcentral's name for it is "bacterial SSU rRNA". It matches the Rfam family "Bacterial small subunit ribosomal RNA", at positions 331 to 793 of the family's 1533-position model. The record is from RNAcentral.
CCAGACUCCUACGGGAGGCAGCAGUGGGGAAUAUUGCACAAUGGGGGAAACCCUGAUGCAGCGACGCCGCGUGAGCGAUGAAGUAUUUCGGUAUGUAAAGCUCUAUCAGCAGGGAAGAAAAUGACGGUACCUGACUAAGAAGCCCCGGCUAACUACGUGCCAGCAGCCGCGGUAAUACGUAGGGGGCAAGCGUUAUCCGGAUUUACUGGGUGUAAAGGGAGCGUAGACGGCGAUGCAAGCCAGAUGUGAAAGCCCGGGGCUCAACCCCGGGACUGCAUUUGGAACUGUAUAGCUAGAGUGUCGGAGAGGCAGGCGGAAUUCCUAGUGUAGCGGUGAAAUGCGUAGAUAUUAGGAGGAACACCAGUGGCGAAGGCGGCCUGCUGGACUGCAACUGACGUUGAGGCCCGAAAGCGUGGGGAGCAAACAGGAUUAGAUACCCGGGUAC